RNAcentral lists this ribosomal RNA (496 nucleotides) under uncultured bacterium. RNAcentral describes it as "partial 16S ribosomal RNA". It matches the Rfam family "Bacterial small subunit ribosomal RNA", at positions 28 to 506 of the family's 1533-position model. The record is from RNAcentral.
GAUGAACGCUGGCGGCGUGCCUAAUACAUGCAAGUCGAGCGAACAGACGAGGAGCUUGCUCCUCUGACGUUAGCGGCGGACGGGUGAGUAACACGUGGAUAACCUACCUAUAAGACUGGGAUAACUUCGGGAAACCGGAGCUAAUACCGGAUAAUAUAUUGAACCGCAUGGUUCAAUAGUGAAAGACGGUUUUGCUGUCACUUAUAGAUGGAUCCGCGCCGCAUUAGCUAGUUGGUAAGGUAACGGCUUACCAAGGCGACGAUGCGUAGCCGACCUGAGAGGGUGAUCGGCCACACUGGAACUGAGACACGGUCCAGACUCCUACGGGAGGCAGCAGUAGGGAAUCUUCCGCAAUGGGCGAAAGCUUGACGGAGCAACGCCGCGUGAGUGAUGAAGGUCUUCGGAUCGUAAAACUCUGUUAUUAGGGAAGAACAAAUGUGUAAGUAACUAUGCACGUCUUGACGGUACCUAAUCAGAAAACCACGGCUAACUACGU